RNAcentral lists this ribosomal RNA (468 nucleotides) under uncultured bacterium. Its description in RNAcentral is "partial 16S ribosomal RNA". It matches the Rfam family "Bacterial small subunit ribosomal RNA", at positions 28 to 507 of the family's 1533-position model. The record is from RNAcentral.
GACGAACGCUGGCGGCGUGCUUAACACAUGCAAGUCGAACGGAAAGGCCCUGCUUUUGUGGGGUGCUCGAGUGGCGAACUGGUGAGUAACACGUGAGUAACCUGCACUUGACUUUGGGAUAACUUCAGGAAACUGGGGCUAAUACCGGAUAGGAGCUCCUGCUGCAUGGUGGGGGUUGGAAAGUUUCGGCGGUUGGGGAUGAACUCGCGGCUUAUCAGCUUGUUGGUGGGGUAGUGGCUUACCAAGGCUUUGACGGGUAGCCGGCCUGAGAGGGUGACCGGCCACAUUGGGACUGAGAUACGGCCCAGACUCCUACGGGAGGCAGCAGUGGGGAAUAUUGCACAAUGGGCGGAAGCCUGAUGCAGCAACGCCGCGUGCGGGAUGACGGCCUUCGGGUUGUAAACCGCUUUCGCCUGUGACGAAGCGUGAGUGACGGUAAUGGGUAAAGAAGCACCGGCUAACUACGUG